GCUGCGCUUCACGCGCGCGGGAUUCCCUAACUAGGGUAGCCGGCGACGGAUGGGACGGCGAAGCAGAGCAGGGCUAGGCCUGCUGUGGAGUGGACGGCCGAGGGAAUUCGCCGGUCGGCGCGCCAGGACCGGCGGCCGAAGCCUCCGUCGACCGGACCCUCCACCCUAUAAAUAGGGCCUUCUGGGGCUCGAUGAAGGGAGAGGUCGAGGAGAGAGAGAGAAGGCAAGUAAAAUCGGUGGGAAGCAUUGCCGACGGCCUCUGUUUGGGCUCCCCUCGGUGCUAUGUUUCGGACUCGCCGGAUCGGGGUGUUUUGUUUGGUUCGAGCGAGUGAUGCACACCACCUGUUCGAUCAAAUGCUCGAACGAGAUCUCGUCUCCUCUGAAUUUCGGUGGGGGGAAUGGCCCGUCAGUUCGGCGACGUCACCGUGGUGACCGGUGGAAAUCCGGCGAGCGAAUGUACUCUAGCCGGUUGAAGAGCGUCAUGUGCAUGGCUGGGGUCUGGAUGUUCUUGAAUUGGCAAGCAAACCUUCGGUAUUCUGGGCG
Long non-coding RNA from Eucalyptus grandis, 543 nucleotides. RefSeq lists it as uncharacterized. NCBI's taxonomy places the organism in Eukaryota, Viridiplantae, Streptophyta, Magnoliopsida, Myrtales, Myrtaceae. The record is from RefSeq and is a predicted model, not a curated record. The transcript has 2 exons.